This 1142-nucleotide long non-coding RNA is filed under the name Homo sapiens (human). RNAcentral's name for it is "HSALNT0238631". The record is from RNAcentral. Lineage: Eukaryota; Metazoa; Chordata; Mammalia; Primates; Hominidae.
CAUGUCCCUCAGCUCCCAUCCCCUCCUUCUUCCCUGCCCUGAGAGCCAUCCGGGUUUCCUUUCCAGUCUCCCUCUGCUCCUGUGCUUUCUUCCCCUUCCCUCACUUCCCCUGCUCUGUCUUCUCCUCAGUUCCCCGCCCUCCCUCUCUGCACCUGCCCAGUUUCCCCCAUCUCCCCUCCAUGCUCCCUUCCUCCCCAGCUCCUGAGUUGGACCACCUCAGCUCAGCGCCCUACUUCCUGUGCCUGCCCCUGCCUGCUGCCCACCAUCCCUGCACACAGCUCACUCCUCCCUCUGGCCCUCCUGCUGAGCAGGCGGCUCCCCCACUGCCCUGGGCCUGCCCACCUUCCCCAGCCCCCGCAGUCAAGGCUCUCCAACUCCACACCACCGGGGUGAGGGCAGAGAGGCACCCUCUCCAGGGCUGCGCUUCCUCCAGCAGGGCCUGUGUCCUCACCUCCAACGUGAAGAUCAGGCUGGGCCAUUAUUGCAGAGCUGUGCUGAGUGUUGAAGAAGUCUCUGAGAAAAGCCCUUUCAUCUGUCAAGAACUACAAAAGUCAUUCUUUAAGUGCUAAAUAAACAAUGAAACAGACACAAAGUUAAAGUUACCUGAUCCAAAAAGGAGUGAAGCCUAGACCCCAGCCCACUGACUCAGUCUCUAAGACCCCUCACUCAAAUCUUCAAUCAACAGUGGAGAUGGCUGUGAGCUCUUCUGAUUCCAGAUGACAAUACUCCUCCCUUUAAUUCCUUGAUAUGUUUAAUUAUGUAAGUAAAUUUAAUAUAAAAAUCAUUGCAUUAGAGUUCAUUGUUUUUAUACAAGAUUCAGUGUGAGAUCAAUGUUAUACUUCCAAUUUGUCACACUUACAGAGAACUGAGAAGAAUCACAUUAUUUAAAAUCUUAGCAAAUGUGCAUAAUUCCUUUGGAUAAUUUUAAAGUGAUAGGAUUGGAUCACAUAUGAUGCAAUUGCCUGGGUCUGUUUUGUUUUUAGUUGUAUUUGUCUCUCAUAUUGUGAAUCUCAUAUUUAUGUGACUAAUUAUCAGAAGAUUUUAUCUUUAUUAUGCAUAUUUAGUAUAAAAUGAUCAUACAGUGAAGAGUGUGUAAAAUCAAAAUAAAAUGCCAUUCAUCACCUCUGGCUCUCAUUCCAAGA